GUAGUACUCCCUCCGUCCGGAAAUACUUGUCUUAAAAAUGGAUAAAAUUGAUGUAUCUAUAACUAAAAUGAGUCUACAUACAACAAUUUCUAGGACAAGUAUUUUUGGAUGGAGGGAGUAGUAU
Molecule: non-coding RNA, 124 nt
Organism: Triticum aestivum (bread wheat)
Lineage: Eukaryota; Viridiplantae; Streptophyta; Magnoliopsida; Poales; Poaceae
Source: Rfam